AGCAGCCGCGGUAAUUCCAGCUCCAAUAGCGUAUAUUAAAGUUGUUGCAGUUAAAAAGCUCGUAGUUGAAUUUUGGGUUUGGCCGAUUGGUCCGUUCUUGUAACGAGUACUGGUCGGUUGGGCCUCACCGCUUGGUGAUGCGUAAUGUCAUUUAUUGGGUGUUGCGAGCAGCCAAGACCUUUACCUUGAAAAAUUAGAGUGUUUAAAGCAGGCUUAUGCCAGAAUACAUUAGCAUGGAAUAAUAGAAUAGGACGAUUUAUCUAUUUUGUUGGUUUCUAGGAAAAUCGUAAUGAUUAAUAGGGAUAGUUGGGGGCAUUAGUAUUCAAUUGUCAGAGGUGAAAUUCUUGGAUUUAUUGAAGACUAACUACUGCGAAAGCAUUUGCCAAGGAUGUUUUCAUUAAUCAAGAACGAAAGUUAGGGGAUCGAAGACGAUCAGAUACCGUCGUAGUC
Molecule: ribosomal RNA, 450 nt
Filed under: uncultured Archaeospora
Lineage: Eukaryota; Fungi; Glomeromycota; Glomeromycetes; Archaeosporales; Archaeosporaceae
Description: SSU rRNA
Rfam family: Eukaryotic small subunit ribosomal RNA
Source: RNAcentral